Molecule: long non-coding RNA, 6762 nt
Filed under: Salmo salar (Atlantic salmon)
Lineage: Eukaryota; Metazoa; Chordata; Actinopteri; Salmoniformes; Salmonidae
Description: lncRNA (ENSSSAG00000090573.1, ENSSSAG00000101454.1)
Source: RNAcentral
GUGAGUGCUACGGGGCGGUAGUCAUUUAGGCAGGUUACCUUCGCUUUCUUGGCACAGGGACUAUGUUGGUCUGCUUGAAACAUGUCGGUAUUACAGACUCGGUCAGGGAGAGGUGAAAAUGUCAGUGAAGACACUUGCCAGUUGGUCCGUGCAUGCUCUGAGUACACGUCCUGGUAAUCCGUCUAGCCCCGCGGCCUCGUGAAUGUUGACCUGUUUAAAGUUCUUGCUCACAAUGGCUACGGAGAGCGUGAUCACACAGUUGUCCGGAACAGCUGGUGCUCUCAUGCAUGCUUCAGUGUUGCUUUCCUCGAAGUGAGCAUAAAAGGCAUUUAGCCCAUCUGGUAGGCUUGCGUCACAGGCAGCUCGUGGCUGGGUUUCCCUUUGUAGUCCAUAAUAGCCUUUAGCUCGAUGCGGAUGCUGCCUGUAAUCCAUGGCUUCUGGUUGGGAUAUGUACGUACGGUCACUGUGGGGAGGAUGUCAUCGAUGCACUUAUUGAUGAAGCCGGUGACUGAGGUGGUGUACUCAAAUCCAUUGGAUGAAUUCUGGAACAUAUUCCAGUCUGCUAGUUAAACAGUCCUGCAGCAUAGCACUGCGUCAUCUGACCACUUCCGUAUUGAGCGAGUCACUGGUACUUCCUGCUUUAAUUUUUGCUUGUAAGCAGGAAUCAGGAGGAUAGAAUUAUGGUCAGAUUUUCCAAAUGGAUGGCAAGGGAGAGCUUUGCAUGCGUCUUUGUGUGUGGAGUAAAGGUGGUCUAGUUUUUUUCCCCCUCUGGUUGCACAUGUGACAUGCUGGUAGAAAUGAGGCCACUAGGAGCGCCGCUUCUGGAUGAGCAUUUUCUGGUUUGCUUAUGGCCUUAUACAGCUUGUUGAGUGCGGUCUUAGUGCCAGCGUUGGUUUGUGGUGAUAAAUAUACGGAAAACCCAGCCAACUGCAUAUUAUCCAUGUUGUCAUUCAGUCACGACUCGGUGAAACAUCAGCGAUUACAGUUUUUAAUGUCCCAUUGGUAGGAUAGUCUCGAAUGGAGCUCAUCCAGUUUAUUCUCCAGUGAUUGCACAUUGGCCAAUAGAACUGACGGUAGAGGCAGGUUACCCACUCGCUGACUAAUUCUCACAAGGCACCCUGAUCUGCGCUCCCUGUAUCUCCUACUUUUCUACAUGCGAAUGACGGGGAUUUGUAUGGAACGCCGUUUGGGUCUUAAAGCACGUGGUCAAAACGCGAUAUUUUUAAUGCUGCGUGUGUAAAGUAAGCAGGUGCAGGCGCUAAAUUAACACGUGCAGGCACUAAAUUAACGUGUGCAGGUGCUAAAUUAAUGUGCGCACGCGUUAAAUGAACACCUAUACGCAUCAAAUAAGUGCGUGCAAAUGUGCUAAAUAAACGGCUGCAAGCCGUCCUGCACACGUCAAAUUAACGCCAACAGCUGCUAAAUAUACACCUACACACGCUAACUUAACGGGUUCUUUAAUUAAUAUGCUAAUUUUACCAGCCAAUUUCCCUAGCUCCUCCUUUCAUUAAAUUAGUGUACAGUCAGUUUGAUGCAACAACACCACAAUUGAAGAUGGCGAGAAGGAACUUACAUAUCCGCUGCAAACUUGAUGCCCUUCAGUCCACGUUAAGAAGACUUGGCUCUGGAUGAAAAGAUUAAGGACUUGGUGGUUGGGAACGACAAACGUGGACCGGAGGCUGUUCGAUCACAAUUAAGGGCUCUGGGUUCAGAGACGCAGAGUGAGGGACAGCAUGCUUCGUGUUAAAAGAGCCAUGUCGCAGAGGCUGCAUAGAAGGUCAUGUCGUGUUGCUGGACCAAACUCGUUAUGGCACCUUGAUGGAAACCACAAACUGAUAAGGUGGAGGAUAGUCAUACAUGGUGGCAUUGAUGGGUUCAGCCGUCUCAUUGUUUCUCCGUGCUUCCAGCAACAAUCGCAGCAGUACUGUAAUGGAUUGCUUCAUAAAUGCUGUCUCCAGAUAUGGCGUUCCCUCCAGAGUUAGGACGGACCAUUGAGGAGAAAACAACACUGUCUGCUUGAUGAAUACUACUUCUACAAACGAGGCUACACUUGUGGCAGCACCUAUUCCUGUGGCCCCCCCAUCUUCUGCACCACUUCUUGUGGCCCCCCUCCACCAUUCCCUGAGGCUUAUCGUCCACCUUCACCACACUCUUCUGUUGAUGUUGGUGAUGACAAUGAUGUUGACCUCCAAACACUGCUGAAGUUAAUGAGAUGCCAACCGAAUUAACGUGAUGAGGGACAACGUUUAUGAUUGUGCAAUGAGAGGCUUUAAGAGAGCCCGCUUUAAUCCGGAGGCAAAAAUAGACAUGGUUUUUAGGGAUGGUGACGGAAAAGGGGCAGCUGAUGAGGGUGGUCCCUCAAGAGAAUUUCUCUGGCUGCUAAUGAGUGCCAUCCAUUCCUUUGCAAUAUUUGAGGGACCUGAUUGGCAAAAAUGCCUUUCUUGCAACUCUCAAGCACUCUAUGAUGGCGUAUACAAGCAGGUGGGCCACAUGAUUGCUGUCUGUCUAGUACAUGGGGGUGUAAAGACACAUUUUUUCAGAGGCUAUACAGGCAAGUAUAUGGCCUACAACCUCCUGUGCCAGAAAUGAAAGAAAUGGUGGAAUAUAACUUAAGAGAGAAGUUGGAGAAGGUAAGUACUUUAUACUGUGAUGGAUGCUAUGUUACUGUUCAUUUGCACUAAGUUCGAAAAAAAAUAUUAGGGUUGUAGAUGUUCAUGAAGACUUUUCCACAUGGAUUUGGUUUCCUUUUGUUGGCAGUCAAUGUUUUUUAAGGGUAGUGAUAAUCAGUUUAUUUUGCUAAUUUUUCCCAAAACACUGUUCAAUAAACAAACAAUUUAAGAUCCAGUUAGCACAAACUGUUGACGAGGCACAGGAAGCGGUCGAGUUGGGUCCAGUGCGAUACAUUCGUACAUUGGAGAGGGAUGCCAUGGUGGAGUCAGCCACAAAGUUCUACUUAGAAAGCAGGAUAUGGGAUGCUCUUGAGUAGUGAGUCUCAAGUUUAGUUAAAUUCUUCAGGGUUAAUUCAUUGACUUUUUUUACUUUAUAGAUUCAAAGAGGUCUGGAGUGUCUAGGUCUCCUGCCUUACAUGAAUAGACACUGAAGCCUCUUCAGAGAGUGUUUCAUCUACGCUGAGAAACCUCUUUUGGCCAGACAUAGCUUCUCUCUUCAAAGCAGAGUGCUCUCCACAUGGUACCAAUCAAAGAGCAAUAGAGAGAAGAGUCAUAUGUUUCUGGGGGGACUGGCUUCUGGAGGUGGAAGGUUAGAUGCAAAACCAUGAUCAUUGAAGUAACACGGCCCACAUCAGUAAAACAUCACCUAAUCACUCUCACAACUGUGGGACAGCAUUUUAUAGCCUUAUUCUUCCAUGGUCCCCCUAAGAAUGUAAUGGAUAAAUGAAAUCCCAAACUACCUUCACUUAGAGUAUUGUGCUCUCCAACAAGUGUUACUUAUGGACUUUAAUGACCCCCCCUUCCCUUUUUUUCAGGGGGAACACAUACCCUUCUCCAUGGAGAAGGUUUUCAUUUUCACUUCGGGGGUUUCAGCAUUCCUAGGCUGGGAUUGCCAGUGGAGCCACAGCUACAGUUCUAUCUGCUACCACACAGCAAGUGGUACCGGAGCGCCAAGUCUAUGUCCAAGAGGCUUCUAAACAGAUUCUACCCCCAAGCCAUAAGACUACUGAACAUCUAAUCAAAUGGCUACCCAGACUAUUUGCUGCUACUAUCUAUGCAUAGUCACUUUAAUAUCUCUACCUACAUAUAUAUAUAUUAACUUGACUAACCGGUGCCCCCGAACAUUCCCUGUACCGGUAUCCCCUGUACAGUAUAUAGCCUCGCUAUUGUUAUUUUACUGAUGCUCUUUAAUUAUUUACUCUUUUUGUCGUUUUUUUUAAACUGCAUUUUUGGUUAAGGGUUUUUAAAUAAGCAUUUCACUGUUGUAUUUGGCGCAUGUGACAAAUUCAAUUUGAUUUAAAGAAUUCAUUUAAGGGGAAUUAUCCAAAACGUUUAUUGCAUGACUACCUAGUAAGUUCGGAAUACUGCAGCCAAUGUUAAUUGGUGAUGUGUCCCAAAAGAAUUGAUAUUAUUAAAGUUUCCGACCGGAUUGUCCAUCAGCAAAAAAAGUUGUGCAGUGAAAGUUUUCAAAAACAUUACAACCAACCAGAAUCAAUUGGACACAGUAAUAAAUAAUGCAGAUUUAAUAAAUGUAUGAUUUCUUAGUGGGUAAACUGAGCAUUAUGCAUAGUUAAGUCAUGUAUGUCAAGGGACUGUUACAAUAUGUGCAAUGUUACCAUAAAUAAAUCCUACCGUAAAUAUGUACAUUUCAUUUACAUGUGUAAUGGCAAUAAAAGACACUGUAGUUGGUACAUAGGUCGUGGUGGAGCAAGUUUGAGGGUAGUGGAGAAGCACAAGUGGGACUUUGAGUGAAGUAACUGAAGGCAGAAAAGGAUAUCAGGGUGCCCAGGAACUUGAAGCUGCUGAUCAUCUCCAUGUCAAUGUACAGUAGAUGGGAGAAUGGUCAAGUAUCACCAUGUACUUUGUUUUGUUUACGCUGAGACUGUUGUCCUAUCAUCAUUAUGUCAGGUCCCACAGCUCCUUCAUGUACUCAUGUGUACCAUGGUAGUGUCGGGUCCCACAGCUCCUUCAUGUACUCAUGUGUACCAUGGUAGUGUCGGGUCCCACAGCUCCUUCAUGUACUCAUGUGUACCAUGGUAGUGUCAGGUCCCAGAGCUGCUUCAUGUACUCAUGUGUACCAUGGUAGUGUUGGGUCCCACAGCUCCUUCAUGUACUCAUGUGUACCAUGGUAGUGUCACGUCAAUUCUGGGGAUACACAUUCUUAUGAUAAUGUAAAAAAUCGAAAUUUGUUAUUACAGGAUUUACACCCAGAGCCCUGAGUCUGCAAACCAGUUUGUGGGUCAGGAUGGCGUUGAAAGCAGAGCUAUAAAAUAAAAUGCACUCUGACGUAUGUAAAAAUGUAUAAUUGACAUUUGUUGGGACAAUAGGCAAACUGGAGUUGUACAUUGUGCUACACUAUCUAUUGUUCCAGUUUUUUUAAAUUGAUAUCGACUGGGCUGCAGUGGAGAUGGUAAGAAGCAUUGAUAUCAUAGGGACCUAACUUCUAACGUCCUUUCCUGGUACACCCACAGACACUGCAGUCAAAUGCCAACCAGCGGCUCUCCGUCCUACAGUGGCUGAAGAUGUUUUGCCUGACGUCAAACAUUAACAAGAGUGUCAGAUUGAAGUGUCUGGAAAAAACGUAAACAUAACCAUAAGAGCAGAUGACUUUGUCAUCUUUACUGGCACAGUUUAAAAAUGUCUAAUUGUAGUCCCUUUCAAUUGAUUCAUUGACUCCAAGAACCAUAGAUUGUUUGUAGUUCAUAACAUUAACACAGCUGACAAACGUUGCUUGACUGUAAAUUGGGAUACAUGUUUGAAUAACAUUGGAUAUUUGAUUGGGCUUAAUGUUGUACACCUUGUCAUGUUGUGCAUGCAUGCCAACCAGGUGAGAAUCACCAGAAUUAAUUGAUACUUGAUGAAUCAGGUCUUCUCUGCUGCUUUAUCAGCAUCCCCCUUGCCCACUCCAAGCUCCUCUUCAUGGUUCCCUUCUGCAAGACACAAUUGUGGGAAAAUAAAGUGGAAGGAAUGGGAACCCUAUUCCUUUGAAGCAGUACUGUGUAUAUGCCUGAAGUUAUUUUACCCUGAUAAGCUUCGAAGGAAUAUAAAUAUUCAAAAUGUGAACGUACACAUUAAAGUCUACUCUGUUCGAAAGCUGACAUGUAACGUUAGACGUUAGCAAAGGUUUUACAAGGUUGUCACUAGCCAAAUUUGCUUUAUGUGAGCUUUUCUGUCUUCAUGCUAAUCGCGAGCUAGCGCGGCUAACGCUAGCAUUUAAAUGAAAGCCAGUCAGGCUGAAGAAGUUGCUGACCUUAAGUUGUUGUUUUGCUUAAAUACAAGGCUUUGGGCUAAAAACGGAACUCAAAAACAUGUCCUGCUUCAGUACUAGCCGAUAAGUCACAUUUAGGUAGCUUUGAAGGAAUAUAAAUAUUCAAAAAGUGAACGUGCACAUUAAAGUCUACUCUGUUCGAAAGCUGACAUGUAACGUUAGACGUUAGCAAAGGUUUACAAGGUUGUCACUAGCCAAAUUUGCAAAAUAAAGACAAUAGUCCAAAAAUCUAGAACUACCAGGAUUUUGAGCAUCUCCGUUGUCUCAUCUAUGUAUGCCUGGUCCUGCAUUCAAGCAACAAUCUUGCUAGUAUGUAAUUUACCUUGAUGGUAUCAAAAGUCCAAUGUGUUUUCGUGGCUGUUAUAGUUUACAUGUUUUUUCAGCAGGGCUUUUAAUAAAACACAACACGGUGCCGUUCACUGCGGCUAGCAGUAUGACCAGGCAAAGUUUGAGGCUAACUAUAUGAUAUAAUAUGGCUGGGGUUCGAGGCUACCGACGUUAGCUAAAUUAGCUAGCAAGUAUCUGACUUAGCUUAUGCUAAGCACUGCUGAUCCUGGUGCUAGAUUAAUGUUAGCUGCAUUUUAUAGCCAGUGAUGAGAAACAGAUCCUUCCACUGUAAACUAGCUGAUAAACCUUACGAUUCAGUAACAACAAAUUUCAAAGACAAAACCAUUACCUUGUAAAGGUUCAAACUCUGCUUGCAGUGGAAAAGGAAGUUCCUUCAAACUGUGAAAUCUGGUUGAAAGGAGGAGGGAGGGAAAUUGGCUAGUAAAAUUAGCAUAUUAAAGAAUGCGUUAAGUUAGCGUGUGUAGGUGUAUAUUUAGC